AUGUUGAAAGCCAGAGACAUAGGAGAGCAUCAUUCUUUUGAGAUAUAUAACUCAAACCAACUUUGGAGUAGUCUGAUUUGGAGAGUCAUGAUCCUUGGUCUUCCUUUCUUAAAGGAAUCGUUCACACACACACAAAAAAAUAAUUUACUUGCCCUCAUGUCAUUCCAAACCUAUAAGACUUUUGUCUGUCUUUACAACACAAAUUAAUAUAUUUUAAAUUUUCUCAUAAUUAUUUGUUAAUCCAUUGAGAGUCUAGAUAAUUGGCAUUUUCAAGCCUCUUAAAUACAGAGUUAUUGUAGAAGUAAUCCAUUCCGAUAUUUACAUAUGAAUAAAUCUUAAAUUAUAUGAUAGCGAACAUGUCUGUUCAAAAGAAAAUAUUGGUCUCCCCAACUAGCAAUGGAGGACAAAAAUUAAGAGAAUAUUAAAUAUAUUUAUUUGUGUUCCAAAAAUUAGCAGAGUUUGUAUGGGUCUGGAACAACAUGGGGGAGAGUAAAUUGACCAUUUUAAUUUUUUGGUGGACUAACCCUUCGAAGAGCAGCCCUUCACGUACAUGAACAUUUGUGAGGCCACUGAUGAAGAACAGGCGGUGACUGUGAUGAAUGCUGGUUGGAGAAGAGAAUGUCAUUUCCCCUAAACUGAUGCAGCAGUGGUUUUAAAGGAGGAUGCUGCCCUGGAUGAUGUAGAAGAUGCCACAUGCUGUGCUGAUGGGGCUUCUUCAUGACUACAUUAGUUAUGCUAAAGAGAUCAUGAAAAUUGACAGUGAUGCAUGAUCUGUAUUCAUGGACUAUGAAACAAACUGUAAGUGUAUAAUUUGUA
This is a long non-coding RNA of Cyprinus carpio (common carp), 816 nucleotides long. RefSeq lists it as uncharacterized. The record is from RefSeq and is a predicted model, not a curated record. NCBI's taxonomy places the organism in Eukaryota, Metazoa, Chordata, Actinopteri, Cypriniformes, Cyprinidae. The transcript has 3 exons.